This 630-nucleotide long non-coding RNA is filed under the name Malus domestica (apple). RNAcentral describes it as "long non-coding RNA (MDOM_LNC001656)". Lineage: Eukaryota; Viridiplantae; Streptophyta; Magnoliopsida; Rosales; Rosaceae. The record is from RNAcentral.
AUUGAUAACUUAUUUGUAUUUGUUAAUUAAGGGUCGACACUUAAUUGGCAUGCAUAAAUCCGUUGCUAGAAUGUAAGGAAGUUUCACAUAAUCGUUACAAACUUAUAUUCACAUGUAGUGAAGGUCGCUUAUAAACGAUCGCGUUAAGUUCAAUUCUAGCAUGAGUGACAUGAUGUCAUAGUUGUAAGUGCUUUGUCAAUGCUUAUGAUUUUCAUUAAACGUAAUGAUCUUUUAUUGUAUCUCUAUUAUGAUGUCAUGUAGGGAACUUUAGAAGAAUGUUUUGGGUUGUCGAAUGAUGUCAUCCAAUCCAAUAAAAUAAGGAAAAUCUGAGAGUUAACUAGUGAUGUCACGGUUAAUUUGAAGCAUUGUCGUUCAUAAUUCAAUGAAGUAGUAACUGGAAAUCGAAUUAUUUGCAUACAUGUCAUGUGUGGAGAAAAAGCCUCUAGCUAUCCCAUCCAUCAUCUUAUUUCUCAAAUUUGUUUUACAAUCUGUCUAAUUUUUCAUACUUGUUUGUUUGUUUCAACUUCGUCCAAAACUCAAUCCCCCUUUACUUUAUUGUGUCUAAUUAGUUAGAAUCUGUUUUAAUUUGUGUUUUUAAAUGUUUUGAUUCAAGUAAAAGUCAAUUUUCGU